AUUGAACGCUGGCGGCAUGCCUUACACAUGCAAGUCGAACGACAGCACGGGAGCAAUCCUGGUGGCGAGUGGCGAACGGGUGAGUAAUGCAUCGGAACGUGCCAUUGAGUGGGGGAUAACGUAGCGAAAGUUACGCUAAUACCGCAUAUUCUGUGCGCAGGAAAGCAGGGGAUCGCAAGACCUUGCGCUCUUUGAGCGGCCGAUGUCAGAUUAGCUAGUUGGUGGGGUAAAGGCUCACCAAGGCGACGAUCUGUAGCGGGUCUGAGAGGAUGAUCCGCCACACUGGGACUGAGACACGGCCCAGACUCCUACGGGAGGCAGCAGUGGGGAAUUUUGGACAAUGGGGGCAACCCUGAUCCAGCCAUGCCGCGUGAGUGAAGAAGGCCUUCGGGUUGUAAAGCUCUUUCGGCCGGGAAGAAAUCGCACAGGUUAAUACCCUGUGUGGAUGACGGUACCGGACUAAGAAGCACCGGCUAACUACGUG
Molecule: ribosomal RNA, 484 nt
Filed under: uncultured bacterium
Lineage: Bacteria
Description: bacterial SSU rRNA
Rfam family: Bacterial small subunit ribosomal RNA
Source: RNAcentral